UAGGGGAACCUGCGGCUGGAUCACCUCCUUUCUAAGGAUGGUUCUUCAGAAGCUUGCUUCUAUCGAACCGUUUUAGAAACAUCAGUGGCCAACAGAUCGCCAGAUCGUUGAGCUGCAUUGGCGGGAUUUCGCCGUCUUCGUUUCUCUUUCUUCGCGGACGAACACGCGCUGGGCCUGCAUCGAGCAGGAUCCCACGGUCCCUAACGGGAUAUGCGUUAGGGGCUUGUAGCUCAGUUGGUUAGAGCGCGCGCUUGAUAAGCGUGAGGUCGGAAGUUCAAGUCUUCCCAGGCCCACCACUUUCAGUGAGCAUUCGUCUUCUGGUUACGGGGCCAUAGCUCAGCUGGGAGAGCGCGUGCUUUGCAAGCAUGAGGUCGUCGGUUCGAUCCCGUCUGGCUCCACCAGAUGGUUUGAUCACCGAGAUCUUGUACCGUCGUCCGCGAAACAUCACUUCGCAUCCUGCUAGUCUGGAUAGACAGCAAGAUGCGUGUUUUCUGACAUCGUAAAGAGGAGAUCGAUCCGAGUUGGGUCGUGCAGCAGAUUGUUGCGCGGAUCCUUCAUUAUCUCCGGAUCAUUUUCGGCGCUCGCUCUCAGCCGUGAGGUUGAAUGCGAGUUGUAAAAUGAUCCUUUUAGCGAAGCUUGACCGCCUCGCUAUCGGAACGAUCUUACGAAGCAAGCUGGUCUUUCUAGUCAAUGUCCGGCUGCACGUAGCAUUCAUCGAGGGUGCGCGCCUUAGAGACUUCGGUUUCUCGGCAAUCGUGCAGACAACAUUCUGCCGAGUGUGUGGACAUUGAUAAUGAGAGCA
RNAcentral lists this transfer RNA (802 nucleotides) under Bradyrhizobium yuanmingense. RNAcentral's name for it is "16S-23S ribosomal RNA intergenic spacer". The stretch from base 220 to 293 matches the Rfam family "tRNA". The record is from RNAcentral. Lineage: Bacteria; Pseudomonadati; Pseudomonadota; Alphaproteobacteria; Hyphomicrobiales; Nitrobacteraceae.